This 629-nucleotide ribosomal RNA is filed under the name Curtobacterium sp. Ri3Pt_4458. RNAcentral's name for it is "bacterial SSU rRNA". It matches the Rfam family "Bacterial small subunit ribosomal RNA", at positions 387 to 1025 of the family's 1533-position model. Lineage: Bacteria; Bacillati; Actinomycetota; Actinomycetes; Micrococcales; Microbacteriaceae. The record is from RNAcentral.
UGCAGCAACGCCGCGUGAGGGAUGACGGCCUUUCGGGUUGUAAACCUCUUUUAGUAGGGAAGAAGCGAAAGUGACGGUACCUGCAGAAAAAGCACCGGCUAACUACGUGCCAGCAGCCGCGGUAAUACGUAGGGUGCAAGCGUUGUCCGGAAUUAUUGGGCGUAAAGAGCUCGUAGGCGGUUUGUCGCGUCUGCUGUGAAAUCCCGAGGCUCAACCUCGGGCUUGCAGUGGGUACGGGCAGACUAGAGUGCGGUAGGGGAGAUUGGAAUUCCUGGUGUAGCGGUGGAAUGCGCAGAUAUCAGGAGGAACACCGAUGGCGAAGGCAGAUCUCUGGGCCGUAACUGACGCUGAGGAGCGAAAGCAUGGGGAGCGAACAGGAUUAGAUACCCUGGUAGUCCAUGCCGUAAACGUUGGGCGCUAGAUGUAGGGACCUUUCCACGGUUUCUGUGUCGUAGCUAACGCAUUAAGCGCCCCGCCUGGGGAGUACGGCCGCAAGGCUAAAACUCAAAGGAAUUGACGGGGGCCCGCACAAGCGGCGGAGCAUGCGGAUUAAUUCGAUGCAACGCGAAGAACCUUACCAAGGCUUGACAUACACCGGAAACGGCCAGAGAUGGUCGCCCCCUUGUGGU